Carassius carassius (crucian carp) is the source of this 1865-nucleotide long non-coding RNA. RefSeq lists it as uncharacterized. The record is from RefSeq and is a predicted model, not a curated record. The transcript has 5 exons. NCBI's taxonomy places the organism in Eukaryota, Metazoa, Chordata, Actinopteri, Cypriniformes, Cyprinidae.
UGCAGGUUUCUAGUCAGUUGUGAGAAAAUCAAGGUGUUUGAAGAGUUUCACAUGUUCUGAUUGACUACUGAAAGAAACAGAGCACUGGACAAGAUUAUCAAUGAACCUAUAUAGGAAUUUUGGGAAUCUCCUGGAGAGUUGGGCGACCGAAGGCUACCAGGAUGUAUACUUACAGCCUGGACCUGGUGUGGACAGAUUAGAUUCCAUUUCUAGGCACUACGUCCCACUAUCCAAUGUAAAAUCCGAAUCUGAGGACUCUGGAUUUGAGACGGUUAGUACAACCAGUCCCUGUCAUUCUCACCAGUGUAGUACAUUGAUGUCUGAGGAAUCACAGGCGGUUUUUGGCUCUACAGAGGAUGAGGUUCAACCCUCAUCCCCGUCUCCUUCUAUUUGCUCCUCUUCAUCCUCAAGUGUCGAUCUCAGCUCUGUGGUUCGAAAAGCGACAUGUCUGCAGGUGGAGCAAGCCUUGAGAAGAACAGAUUCCCCCUCAUGGAGAAGACGGCCACAUCAGAUGGAAAGGGGGACCGCUGGGCUAUGGUAUUGCUCUAACACGGCCUCUUUCCCAACCAGACUUCGCUCAAACAGCUCCAGACCACAUCAUCGGUUCGCUUAUCCAAGAAGAACUCAUUCACAACCAUCAGAUCCCAAGAAAGCAGCACUGUACAGAAAAUGCCUAAAAUUACAUCAACAUGGCCAACCAGUGCACAGACAGUUUGAGCAGCUUGUGGACAGUAAUCAAUACAGGCUGGACAAGCUGUCUCCAGGGUUGCUGUACCUGGAGCAGGUGUGCAGGAUGCUGGAGAACAUUGCAACGCUACAGCAGCAAAACUACUGCCUGCAGAAAGAGGUGGAGAACCUGAAGAGUCAGCAUGCUGAAAUGGAGGUUAGUCACUGAUAUAUAUCUCACAAAGGUUCCUCUUUUAGGUCAUAUAAUCAAGACUUUCCAGUUCUGUCUUGCUUUAUGUCAGUUUUCCAAAAGCAGUGUCGUGUGUCAAAAUGAUUUCUUAUUGUUUCCUGUAACCUGAAACCUCAUAUUUCAAGCACAUUAACUCUUCUAAAUAAAUGUUUUCAGUAUGGAAGCUUACAUGAGGAGGAAAUAAGCUAUCAUACCAGUCAAGGUUUACAGAUUCUGGUUCAUGAAGAUCCAGCCAGUGAACCGACUCACCCCCAAGAACCCAUGGUGUUUCUUGACAGUUCAGAUUCUGCCGCUCAGGCAGCUGCAGACCGUCACAGACGAACAGGGUUUGUUCAAGAUGAACCUAUUGCAGAGGUCUUAGUCAAGGAACCUGAUAGUAAAGAUCCUCCACCAGGAAAGGAGCACAAAAAGCCGAGUAGAAUCAAAAAGCUGAAAUUCACAUCCUUUACAAGGCAGAAAGCACAACAGUCUGACAGAGAAAGCAAAAGCUUUCAGCCUGAGAAGAAAACAAGAACACCAAGCUUUUUCAGUAGGAACAGAAGUAUAACGACCCGUCUCUAACAUUAAUGCCACAUUGAUGCCUUGUAAUGGUGGCAUAUGCACACCUCCCAUUUACCUUGGUAUUAUAGCACUUUUAUAUGUAUAGCUUGUUUAAUCAAUUAUUUAAGGCUCACUUAAAUAAAGUACUGAGUAGUACUAAUAGUCUUUAUGUACUUAAUGGAUACUUUUUUUGGGGCAGUGCACUUUAUGCACUGUAUUUGUUAAUAUUGUAUUGUAUUUGCAAUGUAAAUUACUGUCAAUGUCAAGUUUUCAUUACCAGAUCCAUUCAUUGUAUUAUAGUUAUUUUCUCUUUUAUCAUGAUCUCUGUCUGUAAACCUUUGCUGCUAAAAGAAUUCCUUAUUUUGUAAUAGUUAGGUGAUUUCAUAACAAAUUGUUUAAUAUAAUAAAA